Molecule: microRNA, 24 nt
Filed under: Triticum aestivum (bread wheat)
Lineage: Eukaryota; Viridiplantae; Streptophyta; Magnoliopsida; Poales; Poaceae
Description: tae-miR1125
Source: miRBase by way of RNAcentral
AACCAACGAGACCAACUGCGGCGG